Molecule: long non-coding RNA, 444 nt
Organism: Drosophila novamexicana
Lineage: Eukaryota; Metazoa; Arthropoda; Insecta; Diptera; Drosophilidae
Exons: 2
Source: RefSeq, a predicted model, not a curated record
UAUAAGACCUCGACCUCUUUCUUAAUAAAAACUUCAAGCAUGCAAGACACAACAUUAAUGUUGACGUUUUCCAGUUCCUUUUUUUACGAUAAUCUAGAUUUGAAAUGGUUUUAUAGCAAAUAUUAUUUGCUGUUACAAACAGUACACAAUAAAUAUAUUUCAUGCUUCCGUUUUUUUCAAUUACUACGAGCUCGUGAUGCUGUGGAGACAAGCGAGUUGACUUUAUUGGUUAAGGAAUGCCUGAUUUUGUCCGCUUUAAUAAUUAUAUCACUUACAUAGUAAGCCACUGUCACCGCACCAUAUGUGUAAGGACAGGAAUAUAUGCGUGGCCCGCGUUUGCCGCUACUGAAUCGCACAUUGGAAAAAAUAAAUUCGUUUUUAAACAUAUAACUGUAAUAAUAUGGUAACUAUAUACAAAGGGAAUAAAAACAAUUAAAAACAGAA